CAGAGCAACGUUUUUUAUGAAAAUGCCUCAACGGAAAUCCUCUGUAUAGUCAUAUCGAACCUGACCCAUUUGCCAGACCAAAUUAAACAUGAGCUUGCCGAUUAGGCUAAUUCCAAGGCAUGGUGCUCCUUGAACGUGUGGGGCAAUGUACCAUUUUAGUGGGGGUAUAAUCAGGGAAUAUUGUGAACACUGUGUACAACGGUAUAUUUUCUUAUUUUUUUAAUGAACAUAAAAGUAAUUCUCUGACAGUGACAUGGCUUUAGCAGCGCUAGCAAGAGAGAGGGAGGGUCUUCUAACUAUGGAUAUCCGACCCCGUCUCAUGUUUUUGUAGUUGUUCUUCUUGUCAUGUUCUUAUUUUUCACGCUCGAGGCACUGUUUACUUGUAUGUCAGAUAAUAUGAUGUAAGAGACAGAAUUCCAGCUCCCCCUCCAAGGGAUUUAUUGGGAAUUUAUGUAAUGUGCAUCAUAAUGGUGUAUUAAUGGUCUCUUAACUCUUUGUGGUUAUCCCCCUGCAGAGCAGCCUGCUAAUCAGGGACACGGAAACUAGGGCGCUCUUCUAUUUUACCUGUUAUGUUAUCUAAUAUUUAUUUCGACAUAACUACUGGUACUGAGUAAUAUAAACAGGGUUAUAUUACUUAUUUUUGGCGCCCCCUGCGGACGGAUGCGCCCUUAGCAUUCGCCUAUACUGCCUAUGCCCAGGGCCGGGCCUGUAUUUAUGUAAAGCAUUAUUAAAAAAUGUGCAUGGGCCAGGCUAAAUUUGCAUGCGUUGGGCUAAGCCCCGGAUAUUUCAGAGACCUAGAAACGCCCCUGCAAUUCCGUCGCUCAGACUAGGACUUCAGACUACAGAGCGUAAACGUUCAUUAACACAGACUGGAGUCAACAUCUUCCAAACGCCCUGUGCCUUUAUCGGACUAUUGCAGUAAGCCUGGGUGAGUCGUGUGUGAUUCGCUCUUACUCUGGAUGGUCUGUGUCAGCGAAGAUAACGAGCUCGGGAAUCGAGGCAGUGACGCGAGGCAGUAACACUUCAGAGCGAUUCAAAGUUUAUUGAGAUACAUGAAGCUAGUUUGUAGGUCCUACAAAGGAAAAUCACGCCUCAUGACGUGAAGUCUAGUCUUGUUAUCUCAGGGCUUGCAACUCAGAGUGAAGCGAAAUAGCGUCGUAGGCCUACCCAUAAAGGUGGCACAAACGGUUAAAAAUAAGAAUAAUGCAUAGAUGAAACAUACAUGAUACAACAACUAAAUUAUUACACAUGCCCAGUUUCUGAUGCAUUAGUAGAGAUUUUUAUUUCUAGCUUUGGAUGUGAUGCUUUAUGAUUCCAAACUAAUGAACAAAUGAAGGAACUGUCAUCGUUUGAACAGCACACCGAACCAAACAAGAACCCCAGGGAAUGUCCUCCUGGGAGAUGAUGAAGCUUCUUGUUCUGCUGCUGGUGUUCUGUUGGAUGGCCUGCGUAGAGGGAGAUGAGGGUAAAGCUGAACCUCCAGGGUCUACCUGUGAGAUGUACACAGAUAUGAAGACUUUUUUUGUCACUGAGGGGGAGGCUCUUCGCAUCGUACCAGAUGGUCUGCAGGGGGGCAAUUGGAACGACUCCCAACAUGACCUGUUCACCUGGCACCGCCAGGGGGGAGAGACCAAUUUCUCCACCUCAGAGGAGGAGCGGAUCCAUCAACAUGGCCCUGCCCUCUUCUUCCUCCCUCUAUCCAUCAACGACACCGGUCACUACAUUGCCCGGCUCGACUACUUGGGGAAAUGCCACAUCUUCUACGUUCCUCUGCUUGUGACCAGCGAUCCCCUGGAAACUUUCUACACCCCCAUCGAGAGCUCUGACUCUAACCCCCAAGUCCCCUGUCCGGAGCAGGUCACGGACGUGUGCAAAGACUUCAGAGGAGUUCUCAGCUGGUACCAGAACUCCAGUCUGAUGGUGGGGGAGAAACUCCCUACACUGCAGCUGCAAGGACACACCAUGCCGUACAUGGCCGUGUACAAGUGUGUGUGCACGUGGAAACACAAUGAGAAGCCGUACAACUCCACGGCCUCCAGAGAGCUGAAGAUGAUGGAGCUGCCGGCUAAUCAGGAUAUCCAAAUCGUCCUUCCUACCACCACAGAGCUGACCGUUCACCCAGGUUCCCCGCUGGAGAUCCAGUGUGUGGCCUUCUUUGGGACCAACUUCAAAAGUCCCUGUGAAGUUCGCUGGGAAAGAACAACCACAGUAUAUCUGGGAUGGAGGGUUACCAGCAGACCUUCUUCAGGGAGACAGUGGAGUCAUCCAAGAAGAGCUUUUGCUCCUCCACCCUUACUAUUGAGAAGGUCCAGGGGUCCGACCUCCAAACCUCCUUCAGGUGUAGGGCCUCCAACCACAGAGAAACCAGAUUCCACACUCUCAGCCUCAAGCUUGCAGAAUCGAGGAGCUACCUUGUGGUUGCGGUGGUGUGUGUCAGCAUUGUGUUCCUGUUAGCCGCCCUCACCAUCAAAUACUUCUUUAUGGACCUGGUUCUGUUUGGCAGAAGGUUCCUGAAAUGCUGCAAGGCCAGCAGCGAUGGGUUGCUGUACGACAUCUACGUGGUGUACCACUCUCAGGAGAAGAGUGAGGGAUCCUGAACCGCUUCCUCUCCCAGGCCCUGCCCCACGUCCUGGAGCAGAAGUGUGGCUACAGGGUCUUCACCCAUAGCCCUAACGACACACCCAGAGCAGACCGGUUGGAGGUGGUGAAGGAGUACGUGAGGCUGUGCAGGAGGCUGAUGGUGGUGCUCCCUCCGGGGUUAGAGAUCCAUGAGACCCUGGGCUCUUCCCCCACGCCCUGUAGGGAUGAUGUUGAGUGGCAGGUUGGGCUCCACGAGGCCUUGGCCCAGGAUACGAGAGUGAUCCUGGUCCAGCUGGGUGAGGUGGGACCCCAGGGCUACACCCAUCUCUCCCCCACCCUGCAGAACUUUAUCCACAAACGUUCCCCCCUCUGCUGGUUGGAGGACUCACCAGGCGCCGCAGACUGGAACUCACGUUUCUGGAAGAGGGUGCGCUACGAGAUGCCCGUCGUGUCCGCCAAACCCUCUUCUCUUUCUGUUUUGUGAGAGGUUCUUGGGUAAUGAGUUUACCAUGAUGUUAAUAAUGUUGAGCAUCAGUAUCACUAUUAAUUAUUCAAACCGAAAACUGGAGAACGCAGACACAGGAGAUUUAAUGAAGAAAGCCCUGAUUUAUUAAUAAACGGGGAGGCAGGAAGAUGGGUAGGGUUCUUCAAUGGAGGGCAUUCAUAACAUAGGUCAGUAAGAACAUCAAAAAGUUUCAAGAAAAACCAUGGAGACGUAGGCCUAUUUAAAUUCCAAACGAUGCGCAACCAUUUGCUCACUUGGUUUACAGAGGUCUAGAGUCACAAGUGAGCAAGUGAUUUAAAAAAAAAUUAUAGGCCAACGUAUUUAACGAGGAACCAGUGAUUAAAUUGAGGAACUGAAAAUCCCUGCUCACUGGUCGGAAAUGUUACAUACGAUUGGUGUUAUACAACUGUUUAAGCGACCUUGAGUGUGAUAAAGGUGCUGUAUAAAAUAAACAUAUUUUUAUUAUU
Gadus chalcogrammus (walleye pollock) is the source of this 3552-nucleotide RNA transcript. It is a transcript of the gene named interleukin-1 receptor type 2-like, with no coding region annotated. Lineage: Eukaryota; Metazoa; Chordata; Actinopteri; Gadiformes; Gadidae. The transcript has 12 exons. The record is from RefSeq and is a predicted model, not a curated record.